AUUGAACGCUGGCGGUAUGCUUAACACAUGCAAGUCGAACGGCAGCAUGGUCUAGCUUGCUAGACUGAUGGCGAGUGGCGGACGGGUGAGUAACGCGUAGGAAUAUGCCUUGAAGAGUGGGACAACUUGGGGAAACUCAAGCUAAUACCGCAUGUACUCGAGAGAGUAAAGCUGGGGACCUUCAGGCCUGGCGCUUUAAGAUUAGCCUGCGUCCGAUUAGCUAGUUGGUAGGGUAAAGGCCUACCAAGGCGACGAUCGGUAGCUGGUCUGAGAGGAUGAUCAGCCACACUGGAACUGAGAGACGGUCCAGACUCCUACGGGAGGCAGCAGUGGGGAAUAUUGGACAAUGGGGGGAAGCCUGAUCCAGCAAUGCCGCGUGUGUGAAGAAGGCCUGAGGGUUGUAAAGCACCUUCAGUGGGGAGGAGGUUUGGAAGGUUAAGAGCUAUUCAAAUGGACGUUACCCACAGAAGAAGCACCGGCUAACUCCGUGCCAGCCGCCGCUGUAA
Molecule: ribosomal RNA, 506 nt
Filed under: uncultured bacterium
Lineage: Bacteria
Description: partial 16S ribosomal RNA
Rfam family: Bacterial small subunit ribosomal RNA
Source: RNAcentral